AAAGGAGAAGAAGCAAAGAAUGAAAAGAAUAGAAAAGCGAUGAAGAAGAAAAAGAAGGAAAAGAGAGAAGAAGGAGCGGUUUGUUUGUUGGCAACGCGCCAAGAAAUGGAUCAUCACGAGGAGAA
Caenorhabditis elegans is the source of this 125-nucleotide non-coding RNA. Lineage: Eukaryota; Metazoa; Nematoda; Chromadorea; Rhabditida; Rhabditidae. The record is from Ensembl.